This 85-nucleotide transfer RNA is filed under the name Candidatus Micrarchaeota archaeon CG_4_10_14_0_2_um_filter_55_9. RNAcentral's name for it is "tRNA-Leu". It matches the Rfam family "tRNA". From Rfam's summary of the family: Transfer RNA (tRNA) molecules are approximately 80 nucleotides in length. The record is from RNAcentral. Lineage: Archaea; Nanobdellati; Microcaldota. RNAcentral also lists the same sequence under 2 other names.
GCAGGGGUGGCCGAGCCUGGUCAAAGGCGCAGGACUUAAGAUCCUGUCUCUUAGGAGUUCGAGGGUUCAAAUCCCUCCCCCUGCA